RNAcentral lists this microRNA precursor (98 nucleotides) under Equus caballus (horse). Its description in RNAcentral is "mir-544 microRNA precursor family". It matches the Rfam family "mir-544 microRNA precursor family". The record is from Rfam by way of RNAcentral. Lineage: Eukaryota; Metazoa; Chordata; Mammalia; Perissodactyla; Equidae.
AUCACUUGGAAAUCUUGUUAAAAUGCAAAUUCUGAUUUAGUAGGUCUGGCGUUAGCCCUAAGAUUCUGCAUUUCUAACAGGUUCCCAGGUGAUGUCAA